This 31-nucleotide non-coding RNA is filed under the name Rattus norvegicus (Norway rat). The record is from RNAcentral. Lineage: Eukaryota; Metazoa; Chordata; Mammalia; Rodentia; Muridae.
UCUCAGGCAAUAUUCCAGGUUUCUGGAAAGC